AUUGAACGCUGGCGGCAUGCCUUACACAUGCAAGUCGAACGGUAACAGGUCUUCGGAUGCUGACGAGUGGCGAACGGGUGAGUAAUACAUCGGAACGUGCCUAGUAGUGGGGGAUAACUACUCGAAAGAGUGGCUAAUACCGCAUGAGAUCUACGGAUGAAAGCAGGGGAUCGCAAGACCUUGUGCUACUAGAGCGGUCGAUGGCAGAUUAGGUAGUUGGUGGGAUAAAAGCUUACCAAGCCGACGAUCUGUAGCUGGUCUGAGAGGACGACCAGCCACACGGGGACUGAGACCAGGCCCAGACUCCUACGGGAUGCAGCAGUGGGGAAUUUUGGACAAUGGGCGAAAGCCUGGUCCAGCAAUGCCGCGUGCAGGAUGAAGGCCUUCGGGUUGUAAACUGCUUUUGUACGGAACGAAAAGCCCCGGGUUAAUACCCUGGGGUCAUGACGGUACCGUAAGAAUAAGCACCGGCUAACUACGUGCCAGCCGCCGCCGUAA
This 498-nucleotide ribosomal RNA is filed under the name uncultured bacterium. Its description in RNAcentral is "partial 16S ribosomal RNA". It matches the Rfam family "Bacterial small subunit ribosomal RNA", at positions 30 to 523 of the family's 1533-position model. The record is from RNAcentral.